CUCAGGACGAACGCUGGCGGCGUGCUUAACACAUGCAAGUCGAACGGUAAGGCCCUUCGGGGUACACGAGUGGCGAACGGGUGAGUAACACGUGGGUAAUCUGCCCUGCACAUCGGGAUAAGCCUGGGAAACUGGGUCUAAUACCGAAUAGGACCACAGAACACAUGUCCUGUGGUGGAAAGCUUUUGCGGUGUGGGAUGGGCCCGCGGCCUAUCAGCUUGUUGGUGGGGUGAUGGCCUACCAAGGCGACGACGGGGUAGCCGGCCUGAGAGGGUGUCCGGCCACACUGGGACUGAGAUACGGCCCAG
Molecule: ribosomal RNA, 308 nt
Filed under: uncultured Mycobacterium sp.
Lineage: Bacteria; Bacillati; Actinomycetota; Actinomycetes; Mycobacteriales; Mycobacteriaceae
Description: bacterial SSU rRNA
Rfam family: Bacterial small subunit ribosomal RNA
Source: RNAcentral